CAGAACGAACGCUGGCGGCGCGUUUAAGCAUGCAAGUCGAGCGGCAAGGGCCUUCGGGCCCCUAGAGCGGCGGACGGGUGAGUAACACGUGGACCAAUCCGCCCCCCGGCCCGGGAUAGCCCAGGGAAACCUGGAUUAAUACCGGAUGAGACGGGACCCGCGAUGGCGGGAUCCGGGAAAGGCGCUGCGGCGCCGCCGGGGGAUGAGUCUGCGUCCCAUUAGCUAGACGGCGGGGUAACGGCCCACCGUGGCGACGAUGGGUAGCCGGCCUGGAGAGGGUGGACGGCCACAUUGGAACUGAGACACGGUCCAGACUCCUACGGGAGGCAGCAGCUAAGAAUCUUCCGCAAUGGGCGAAAGCCUGACGGAGCGACGCCGCGUGAACGAAGAAGGCCGUGAGGUUGUAAAGUUCUUUCGGGAGGGGGAACAACCGUGGCAGGGAAUGGCCGCGGGAUGACGUGAAUCCCGGAAUAAGCCCCGGCUAACUACGUGCCAGCAGCAGC
RNAcentral lists this ribosomal RNA (503 nucleotides) under uncultured bacterium. Its description in RNAcentral is "bacterial SSU rRNA". It matches the Rfam family "Bacterial small subunit ribosomal RNA", at positions 25 to 518 of the family's 1533-position model. The record is from RNAcentral.